GACCAAAGAGGGGGACCUUCGGGCCUCUUGCCAUCGGAUGUGCCCAGAUGGGAUUAGCUAGUAGGUGGGGUAACGGCUCACCUAGGCGACGAUCCCUAGCUGGUCUGAGAGGAUGACCAGCCACACUGGAACUGAGACACGGUCCAGACUCCUACGGGAGGCAGCAGUGGGGAAUAUUGCACAAUGGGCGCAAGCCUGAUGCAGCCAUGC
RNAcentral lists this ribosomal RNA (210 nucleotides) under Escherichia coli. Its description in RNAcentral is "partial 16S ribosomal RNA". It matches the Rfam family "Bacterial small subunit ribosomal RNA", at positions 199 to 397 of the family's 1533-position model. The record is from RNAcentral. Lineage: Bacteria; Pseudomonadati; Pseudomonadota; Gammaproteobacteria; Enterobacterales; Enterobacteriaceae.